GUGACCUCAGAUCAGGUAGGGAUACCCGCUGAACUUAA
RNAcentral lists this ribosomal RNA (38 nucleotides) under Terfezia claveryi. Its description in RNAcentral is "partial 25S ribosomal RNA". Lineage: Eukaryota; Fungi; Ascomycota; Pezizomycetes; Pezizales; Pezizaceae. The record is from RNAcentral.